RNAcentral lists this ribosomal RNA (464 nucleotides) under uncultured bacterium. RNAcentral describes it as "partial 16S ribosomal RNA". It matches the Rfam family "Bacterial small subunit ribosomal RNA", at positions 28 to 504 of the family's 1533-position model. The record is from RNAcentral.
GACGAACGCUGGCGGCGUGCUUAACACAUGCAAGUCGAACGGAAAGGCCCUGCUUUUGUGGGGUGCUCGAGUGGCGAACGGGUGAGUAACACGUGAGUAACCUGCCCUUGACUUUGGGAUAACUUCAGGAAACUGGGGCUAAUACCGGAUAGGAGCUCCUGCUGCAUGGUGGGGGUUGGAAAGUUUCGGCGGUUGGGGAUGGACUCGCGGCUUAUCAGCUUGUUGGUGGGUAGUGGCUUACCAAGGCUUUGACGGGUAGCCGGCCUGAGAGGGUGACCGGCCACAUUGGGACUGAGAUACGGCCCAGACUCCUACGGGAGGCAGCAGUGGGGAAUAUUGCACAAUGGGCGGAAGCCUGAUGCAGCAACGCCGCGUGCGGGAUGACGGCCUUCGGGUUGUAAACCGCUUUCGCCUGUGACGAAGCGUGAGUGACGGUAAUGGGUAAAGAAGCACCGGCUAACUAC